GGGAUAACAUUUGGAAACAGAUGCUAAUACCGCAUAAGAUUACAGUACCGCAUGAUACAGUGAUCAAAGGAGCAAUCCGCUGAAAGAUGGGCUCGCGUCCGAUUAGAUAGUUGGUGAGGUAACGGCUCACCAAGUCGACGAUCGGUAGCCGGACUGAGAGGUUGAACGGCCACAUUGGGACUGAGACACGGCCCAGACUCCUACGGGAGGCAGCAGUGGGGAAUAUUGCACAAUGGGCGAAAGCCUGAUGCAGCAACGCCGCGUGAGGGAAGACGGUUUUCGGAUUGUAAACCUCUGUUUUCGGUGACGAAUAAAUGACGGUAACCGAGUAGGAAGCCACGGCUAACUACGUGCCAGCAGCCGCGGUAAUACGUAGGUGGCAAGCGUUAUCCGGAAUUACUGGGUGUAAAGGGAGCGCAGGCGGGAUAGCAAGUCAGUUGUGAAAACUAUGGGCUCAACCCAUAGAUUGCAGUUGAAACUGUUAUUCUUGAGUGGAGUAGAGGCAAGCGGAAUUCCGAGUGUAGCGGUGAAAUGCGUAGAUAUUCGGAGGAACACCAGUGGCGAAGGCGGCUUGCUGGGCUCUAACUGACGCUGAGGCUCGAAAGUGUGGGGAGCAAACAGGAUUAGAUACCCUGGUAGUCCACACUGUAAACGAUGAAAGCGAGGUGUGGGGGGUCUGACCCCCUCCGUGCCGGAG
RNAcentral lists this ribosomal RNA (697 nucleotides) under uncultured bacterium. RNAcentral describes it as "bacterial SSU rRNA". It matches the Rfam family "Bacterial small subunit ribosomal RNA", at positions 140 to 851 of the family's 1533-position model. The record is from RNAcentral.